Molecule: non-coding RNA, 74 nt
Organism: Triticum aestivum (bread wheat)
Lineage: Eukaryota; Viridiplantae; Streptophyta; Magnoliopsida; Poales; Poaceae
Source: Rfam
AACGGGGUAGAGGAAUUGGUCAACUCAUUAGGCUCAUGACCUGAAGACUGCAGGUUUGAAUCCUGUCCCCGCCU